This is a long non-coding RNA of Hypanus sabinus (Atlantic stingray), 426 nucleotides long. RefSeq lists it as uncharacterized. The record is from RefSeq and is a predicted model, not a curated record. Lineage: Eukaryota; Metazoa; Chordata; Chondrichthyes; Myliobatiformes; Dasyatidae. The transcript is spliced from 3 exons.
GGGAUGUCGGUCUCACAGAUUCUGGUGCCGAGGAUCUCGUCUCCGCUCUCAGUACAAACCCAUCACUUACGGAUCUGAACCUGAGUGGUAAUAAACUGGGGGAUUCAGGAGUGAAACUGGUGUCUGCGGCUCUGAGGAACCCGGAGUGUAAAAUACAGAGACUGGGGCUGAGGGAUGUCGGUCUCACAGAUUCUGGUGCCGAGGAUCUCGUCUCCGCUCUCAGUACAAACCCAUCACUUACGGAUCUGAACCUGAGUGGUAAUAAACUGGGGGAUUCAGGAGUGAAACUGGUGUCUGCGGCUCUGAGGAACCCGGAGUGUAAAAUACAGAGACUGGGGCUGGGGUAUGUCGGUCUCACAGAUUCUGGUGCCGAGGAUCUCGUCUCCGCUCUCAGUACAAACCCAUCACUUACGGAUCUGAGACUGG